UGUGUGUGACUGUGUGUGUGUGUCUGUGUGUCUAUGUCUGUCUAUGUGUGCCUGUGUGUGUGUGUAGUGUGUGUGUCUGUAUGUCCACAAAAGCUCUUCUUUUUUAUUCUUUUCUUCUUUAAUAUAACAUCUUUCCUGUCAGGUUGGGCCCCUGUCAUCUCCCCAGGUCUCCCCCGUCACACACAAGAGGUCCCUGGCAGGGGUGUGACCGGCACCCCCAUGUUAAAUGCUUUGAUAAACACUGCCCCCGUUUGCUAUAAAAAGCCCCCUCCUCCGCCAUCCCACCCUCAUGGAGAAGCUCCUCAAAGUGGUCAGACAGAUAAAAGUCUCUGCUUGGACCCUCAGCUUUAUGGUGGACAGGAAAUUUCGGGAAAACAUUGGCAGGAAUGGUGGCUGCUGGGACACUUGUGCUGAUACCAGGUGCCGAAAGGUGCAGAGAUACAAUCAAACGCGACCUUUUGGCCGCUCAUGGUUCCACUUCCCAACAGACAGGGGGCUGGACACUUCAGGGACAUCGUUUUAGCUGUCCGUCACAAGCUGAUGAAGACCAUCCACGGGACUGAGUGCAACAGGAAGUGCAGGGUACUUCCGGCAUGACGUCAAUCAGUUGGUGGCCGUGCGCUGGAUCCCGUCUGGACACCGGGAAUAACCCACACUUAUGGAGGAAAGCACAACGCACCUGGUCUGGCCUGAAUGCGAGCGGUCCAAAGUUCUGGCUAAGUUGCACAUAUGCAGAUUUUGGGCUUUUCAUCACAAAGUUCCUGGGACAGGUUUGUUAUUUUUUGGGUCCCACUCAAAAAGUCACAGUGUAGUGAUAGUUUGCGGCCAACAGGGGGCCCCAAACCUUGGGACCCUACACAAAUGCAUGUGUUCCUGUCCAAAUAGGACUGCAGUCAUGGAUAAUUCCAGCUGAAUUCACAAAGCUUAGAUAUUGAAAAGGCCUUGUGUUGCUAACUGUGACCUACAGCGCAGGGACUGUUUUUGCACAGUAGAUAAAACACAUCAGCUUCCUGAGGGAGGUGCUCGUUUCCUGCCCCUAUCAGGGUGUAGCUUUGGUAACAAAGGCAGCUCUGCCAUGUCAGGAGGUCUGUGUCUGACCUGUUUCGCUCGCUGCCCCCAGGGCGAGCUUGCGAACCCUGUUCUGCUCGCUGCCCCCAGGGCGAGCUUGAAGACGCCAUUUCACUUGCCGCCCCCAGGGCCAGCUUGCAGACCCCGUUUCACUCAUCACCCCAGGGCCAGCUUGCGGACCCCGCUUUGUUCGCCGCCCCCAGGGCCAGCUUGCAGACCCCGUUUCGCUUGCCGCCCCCAGGGCCAGCUUGCAGACCCCGUUUCGCUCAUCACCCCAGGGCCAGCUUGCGGACCCCGCUUUGUUCGCCACCCCCAGGGCCAGCUUGCAGACCCCGUUUCGCUUGCCGCCCCCAGGGCCAGCUUGCAGACCCCGUUUCGCUCAUCACCCCGGGGCCAGCUUGCGGACCCCGCUUUGUUCACCGCCCCCAGGGCCAGCACGCACCGGUCAGAAAAUCUCCAUUUCUUACUUCCAACAUGUGGCCCUUUACACAGCAAAUAUCACAUCAUACCAGCGUGGUGGAACUGCACGGGGCAUCGUGAGCUGCUCAAACUCCACCCACAUCAGCUAUAAUAACUUUAGCAGAUUUCCCAGCUGGGGCCAGAGGGAAGUUAAUUAGGAUAAAGGGACUGGGGGUGGGGGGGGGGGGGCUGGUAAGCAGGUAUCAUGUGUCAAUCUAGUACGUCCUGCGUCUGGAUGGGGACCAGGAGGGUAAAUCAGGAGUGAAACCUGAUUGCACAGUUAAAGCCUAAAGCAGCGUGAUGUUUUCUUCCUGUUCUUUUAAUUAAAAAUAGAGCUGGACAGGUAAUUUUGGAAAAGCGGGGAGGGGGAGAUACACUGUAAGGGGAGCAGCAAGUCCCUCCUGCCUAGAGCCCGAGGAGGGCGACUUCAGCCCCUAGGCCCCCACUUACCCAUACCAUGGGAGAAGCUUUCUCAGCGAUGAUAAACUACACAGCAUUUCUGCUUCGGUGACGUUGAAAUGAAGUGGUUAAAGAUGCAGACGGUUAACAGAGGGUGAUGAAUGCGGCUUUAAGAGCUGCUCCUCCUGGCCGUAACUCGAUCCACCUGAGGCUGGGCGGCCGGCACCUCUGACGCCCCCCCCACCGCAUCUGGCUAUCCUGCUUCACGCCUCUACCCCGGCAUCUGGUUACCCGUUUCCAGGGAUACAGGAUACACCUCCGGCAGGCCCGUGGCUGUGAUCUGGCCCAAAAACUAGAGGGAGGUGCCUUCCAUGCCCCCCCCCAGCACAGGGUAGGAAGCCCCUCUCCUGCUCCACAGCCAGAGGAUUCAGCUGCUCCCGGUGAACUCCACCCCCAGCUCUCUCUCUGAUAGGGCGAGGCAGUGGUCCGCCUCCGGAGAAUGUCCCCCCAGCGUGACCCCAGAGGAUAUGGCACCUAAUUCAACACACCUCAAAAAGGCCCUGGGGGCAGGAUUACUGCAGUUACUCUGUGGGGUCACUCCGUUGGUGCAGAUUGAUGACGUCUGGGGCGGAGACCUGCACGGCGGCGUCAGCAUCUAGCAGCAUGGCGUCUGGCGUCCGUGCUCGAUCCUCGGUUUUAUUCUCCUUUUUGAUUCCUGCAGAUGUUUUCUCGUUUGUAUGGUUUAUAGAUGCCUUUGUGCUUAACGUUGGUGCACGUUUACACAGUGAUGGCUUACAGUAAGUGCGAGAACUUUUAUCCUAAACGACGAAUUGCUCAUUGUGGUAACCAGGAUACCGGUGCCUGACUCCUAAGGUGGUGGGGGCUCAGUUUGGAAUGAGCGCAUGUACAUUUACCACAAGCAGAAAUACUGAAUGUCUAGUCACAUCAGUUUAGGGGCAGGCAACCUAUGUACUUUUGGUUAGGACAGAGUAAUUCUCCUUUGGGGAUUAAAUGGACAGGUAGGUUAUUUAGACCCUUUUGCUUAUUGCUUUUCUGUGACGAUGCCUAUAGCCUCUCGCCGGUCAGGUAUUGUUUUUGCCCUUGUCAUUUGUCACUUUACUUGCCACACACGUUAAUAAAAGCAUAUCUUUCUGUUUUCAUCUUA
Paramormyrops kingsleyae is the source of this 3091-nucleotide non-coding RNA. Lineage: Eukaryota; Metazoa; Chordata; Actinopteri; Osteoglossiformes; Mormyridae. The record is from RefSeq and is a predicted model, not a curated record.